GAGCUUGAGAAGGAAUCAGAUUCUGCAUAUAUUUCCAAGUUAACAUGAACAAGAUUUUCUGAAAGACUGCUAUGGAGUCUGAGAAAAAAGUGUCAAAGAUUGAGGACAUGAGGAGGAAAGAACUGACAGAGGAGAUGAAGAAAGGUGAUCAGGAAGAGCCAUCAAAGUGUUAUCCUGGAAUUCAAGUGAAGACAGUGUUUCAAAGUGGAAAUGAACAGUGUCCUGUAACCCUCAGGUGAGACUAGAGUCAGAAUGCAGGCUUUUCUCAUUUGAAAUCUAUUGAAUAAACAUCAGUAAAAGAAGCAAUCCAAGUUCUCAUGCCAAAUAUGUAUAUGUCCAAGACCAGGAUUUCUUCAUGUCUGAAUGUGGAUAUGGAGCCUAGAGUACUAGCAAGGUAAGUCCAGGUCCUUACCUCCACCUAAAAGUUCUGCCACCAAGGGACAUCUGCUCAUUAUCUUCUGUCCACACAUCAAAUGACUUCAAUGUGACCCCUGGAUGUUCUCCAAAGAGCUGAAAGGAAAUAAAUAUUCUUUCUUUAUCACCAAAUACUUCAACUGCAGAGUGGUUGUGCUACCAAGGCCUGAAACUUUGGAAAAACCUGCAUAACACAAAAUAUAUAUGCCACAGAGAGGAUCCAGAGAGCCCAUCUUCAGUCAGUUAUCUGUAUUUGCAUGUCAACUACAGCAUCAAGAAGCAUAGGCAUGGAUACUAAGGACCCCCUCUGUACACCAAAGCCAGUCCAAAGGACAGUGUGUCACUGUGAACUGUAAAUUCAUCUCUCUUCUUCAUCUUUUUUCUACCUACUUUAUGCUUUAUCUCUAAGUUGAGGCUGUUUAUGGCCUCAUCCUCAAUUACCUUGUCCCUC
RNAcentral lists this long non-coding RNA (865 nucleotides) under Pongo abelii (Sumatran orangutan). RNAcentral's name for it is "lincRNA". The record is from RNAcentral. Lineage: Eukaryota; Metazoa; Chordata; Mammalia; Primates; Hominidae.